Molecule: long non-coding RNA, 1370 nt
Organism: Homo sapiens (human)
Lineage: Eukaryota; Metazoa; Chordata; Mammalia; Primates; Hominidae
Product: long intergenic non-protein coding RNA 1122
Source: Ensembl
ACGGUCUCUGUCUCCUGAUCACGCUCCCGUUCCCGAUAUCUCUCCCGCUCCUUGUCCCAAGGUGUCUUGAUUGUGGAGGGUGUAUAAUCCCCAAUGUCUUCGAAAAUACUCCUGUCAGCCUCAGCAGGUUUCUUCUCUUCCAGCUUCCCUUUAUCCUUCUUCUUAAGCUUCUUGUUACGGGUUCCCUGCCUCAGCUGGGUCUUCAUCCUCAUUGUACUCCCUUGGCAUCUCAUGGUGACGUGACUUAGAAGGUGGUGCAGAGACGUUUGAAACUAUUGCUUUGCUGAAAACAUCUGACUGCCAGGCUAGGAUGUGACACUUAAGGUAAUUGUGAUUUUUUUUUUCCGCCUUUAGAGACCUCUUCAUCUGAAAGGUUCUUGGGUCCCCACUUGGUGUAAAGUUUUGGCCAUCUCUUGAACUGUUUCCUCCUCAGUAUAAAGCCUUUGUGAAGGUGUGUGGGAGCUGCAAGGCAAGCAGUUUUCUGAGGAGUUGGGGGUAGGGAUGUAAUGUUAAUGUUCAGGAAUCCUUCUCUGUGCCCACUUUGGAAAUACUUCCUCUUAUCUUUCAUUCAGGAUGCAGGGGAUAAGGCAAAAGUGCAGGCCACAUGCAAGAGAUUUUGAAUUAUGCAUUAAGCUGAUAAUGCCCCAGAAUGCAAGCUUAUGUCAAUAAAUAACUAGGCUGGCAGGAGGAAGGCAGUCACCUUACCAGUGCGGAGGGUACCACAUAGGGAGAGAACUAGAGGAAGACGAGGUGAAGGGUGAAAGGCGCUCACAUCCUGUUAGCUUGCUCUGAUGAAGAAGCAAGAAGAGUAAGUUAAUAUUGAAAUUACUGUCUAAUGCCUAUCUGCUUUUAAAUGGAUUUAGCCAAGGUAACAAGACAAUCUCUAAGGUGGGCCCUGUGUGUUCAAGGAUGCAUGUGUGGCGGGGUUAGCCCUUCUGUGGAGCUGUAUGUAAAGAAAUUCUGUCUGCAGAGAAAUUCAUGAAUUCCUUAAUGGGACCCAUACAUUCUUUAAAAGGGCAAGAAUUUUGGUGGCAAAAUUUGGCAAAAUUCAUAAUGGGACACUCAAGGUUUUGUUUCACCAGGUAUUCUUUUCUGAUUAUGCCGUAGAAUAGCAGUAAAAGUUAAGCAAGUGGAAGAAGCAGGAUUAAAAGAAUGCCAAAAAUUGUGUCCCUGGCACAUGAUACAGGACUACCCAAUGCUGAUGAGAAAUGAUUCUUUAAUCUUUGUGUUAUUUCUCUUGCCUUAGUAAAAUGCAUCAAUAAACGUGACUAUCUUCUGUGAGAAAUGAACAGUGGUGCACACGCCAGCAUAUACCUGCACACACACACACACGAUGUUUAAAAAAAAAUUAGUCCUGUUUCUCAAGGAAA